UCCGAUAUAGUGUAACGGUCAACAUACGUCGCUUUCACCGACGAGCUCGGGGUUCGAUUCCCCGUAUCGGAG
Molecule: transfer RNA, 72 nt
Filed under: Ophiostoma novo-ulmi subsp. novo-ulmi H327
Lineage: Eukaryota; Fungi; Ascomycota; Sordariomycetes; Ophiostomatales; Ophiostomataceae
Also listed under: 1 other name
Description: tRNA-Glu (TTC) (tRNA-Glu-TTC-2-1)
Rfam family: tRNA
About the family: Transfer RNA (tRNA) molecules are approximately 80 nucleotides in length.
Source: RNAcentral